GGAAGGUUGGCAGAGCGGUUGAAUGCACCAGUCUUGAAAACUGGCGACGUCGCAAGGCGUCCGUGAGUUCGAAUCUCACACCUACCGCCA
This 90-nucleotide transfer RNA is filed under the name Burkholderiaceae bacterium. Its description in RNAcentral is "tRNA-Ser". It matches the Rfam family "tRNA". Rfam says of the family: Transfer RNA (tRNA) molecules are approximately 80 nucleotides in length. Lineage: Bacteria; Pseudomonadati; Pseudomonadota; Betaproteobacteria; Burkholderiales; Burkholderiaceae. The record is from RNAcentral.